Molecule: ribosomal RNA, 372 nt
Filed under: uncultured bacterium
Lineage: Bacteria
Description: bacterial SSU rRNA
Rfam family: Bacterial small subunit ribosomal RNA
Source: RNAcentral
GUAGGGGGCGAGCGUUGUCCGGAUUUAUUGGGCGUAAAGAGCUCGUAGGCGGUCUGUCGCGUCUGCUGUGAAAACUCGGGGCUUAACCCCGGGCCUGCAGUGGGUACGGGCAGACUAGAGUGCGGUAGGGGAGACUGGAAUUCCUGGUGUAGCGGUGAAAUGCGCAGAUAUCAGGAGGAACACCGGUGGCGAAGGCGGGUCUCUGGGCCGUAACUGACGCUGAGGAGCGAAAGCAUGGGGAGCGAACAGGAUUAGAUACCCUGGUAGUCCAUGCCGUAAACGUUGGGCGCUAGGUGUGGGGCUCUUUCCACGAGUUCCGUGCCGCAGCUAACGCAUUAAGCGCCCCGCCUGGGGAGUACGGCCGCAAGGCUA